GCUUGUCUCAAAGAUUAAGCCAUGCAUGUCUAAGUAUAAGCUUUUAUACGGUGAAACUGCGAAUGGCUCAUUAAAACAGUUAUAGUUUAUUUGAUGGUCGCUCACUACAUGGAUAACCGUGGUAAUUCUAGAGCUAAUACAUGCACCCAUGCCCGACUUUGUGGAAGGGUUGUGUUUAUUAGUUACAGAACCAACCCAGGCUCUGCCUGGUCUUGUGGUGAUUCAUAAUAACCGAACGAAUCGUAUGGCAUCAGCUGGCGAUGAAUCAUUCAAGUUUCUGACCUAUCAGCUUCCGACGGUAGGGUAUUGGCCUACCGUGGCAAUGACGGGUAACGGAGAAUUAGGGUUCGAUUCCGGAGAGGGAGCCUGAGAAACGGCUACCACAUCUAAGGAAGGCAGCAGG
Molecule: ribosomal RNA, 403 nt
Filed under: Azadinium dalianense
Lineage: Eukaryota; Dinophyceae; Gonyaulacales; Amphidomataceae
Description: partial small subunit ribosomal RNA
Rfam family: Eukaryotic small subunit ribosomal RNA
Source: RNAcentral